This 460-nucleotide ribosomal RNA is filed under the name uncultured bacterium. Its description in RNAcentral is "partial 16S ribosomal RNA". It matches the Rfam family "Bacterial small subunit ribosomal RNA", at positions 338 to 795 of the family's 1533-position model. The record is from RNAcentral.
CCUACGGGAGGCAGCAGUGAGGAAUAUUGGUCAAUGGACGAGAGUCUGAACCAGCCAAGUAGCGUGAAGGAUGACUGCCCUAUGGGUUGUAAACUUCUUUUAUAUGGGAAUAAAAUGUUCCACGUGUGGGAUUUUGUAUGUACCAUAUGAACAAGGAUCGGCUAACUCCGUGCCAGCAGCCGCGGUAAUACGGAGGAUCCGAGCGUUAUCCGGAUUUAUUGGGUUUAAAGGGAGCGUAGGUGGAUUGUUAAGUCAGUUGUGAAAGUUUGCGGCGCAACCGUAAAAUUGCAGUUGAAACUGGCAGUCUUGAGUACAGUAGAGGUGUGCGGAAUUCGUGGUGUAGCGGUGAAAUGCUUAGAUAUCACGAAGAACUCCGAUGGCGAAGGCAGUUCACUGGACUGCAACUGACACUGAGGCUCGAAAGUGUGGGUAUCAAACAGGAUUAGAUACCCCAGUAGUC